GACUAAAGUUUUUAUUAUUCAUUUUCUUUUCCCUUUUCUUCUUCGUAAAUCUUCGGAGAAUACGGCGUUGUAUUAAUGUAAGUUUUCUCUUCUGAAUGACCAAGGCAUAAUGAGACUAAAAACGAUGCUUUCUUGGCCGUGUAGAACAUGGAUUAGCAUUAUGUCAUUCCUACAAGUGAUCCCCCAUCCAGGAUUCGAAGAAGCGCCAUAUGAGGACUUCUUUAUUAAAUAUAAUAUGUUUCUUUCCAUUCCUCGUGAGCCACUUAUUUCUCCGAAACAAGAGAUCAAAGUUAUUUUCCUUCUUUUUCCCAAUAAGUCGACAGCCUUACACCAUUGGGAUACUUCGAAUAAACUAGAGUACAUAUAGGAUACACCGGUGCUAAACCCUUUUCUCAAGAUAUCUUCCAAAUUGUUGGGGAGUACAUAUAAGAUACACCGGUGCUAAACCCUUUUCUCAAGAUAUCUUCCAAAUUGUUGGGGUCCUUGCUCCGGGUGUUGUUCUCCUGGUGUGAAAUUAGUUGGUUCCGUAGUUUUAGAAUUCUGCUGAUCCCAAGUACUCCAUCUCCAUCAUUGCAUAUGAAAAUAUAGAAAGUAAAGAAGAAAAGGCAUAACCAGAAGAAUUGUGUAAAAUAAGUGAAUUUAUCUAGUUGAGGCAUGAUUGAUUUCGAAAAAUGUAGUUUUAGAAUUCUGCUAAUCCCAAGUACUCCAUCUCCAUCAUUGCAUAUGAAAAUAUAGAAAAUAAAGAAGAAAACGCAUAACCAGAAGAAUUGUGUAAAAUAAGUGAAUUUAUCUAGUUGAGGCAUGAUUGAUUUCGACAAAAGAAUUCCCCAAACAGAAAGAGAGUCAAAGUAGUGAAGAACUAUAGAGAGCAGUGGUUGGUUGUUAACCAACAGAAACCAUGGGAGUCUUAUCUUAGGGCAUAAAUGUUGCUUUCUUCUCUUACAAUAUUUUUAGUUGGAUGAAAACAGUGCUCCUAAAUGAGGCUAGCUCCUUAACAUCCGAAGUUGAAUAUGAUGGCAUAGUCGGAAAAGUCUGGCCACAAGGCCCUAAUCUCUGAAGCGCUGGUACUGGAGGUGGUGAGAACAAAGCUUCCAUACUGGAUCGAAAAAGAAGCAUUUAAUGGACCAUAGCAUGAGAUUUAAUAGAUCAACCUAAUCGCAUAUCCGCUGUCGCAAAUUGGUUGUUAACGUAACCGCUGAUGGAGGUGCGUAGCCGCUCUUACUCUAUUUGCUGUUGGUGGUGAAGUCACUUCGGUAGGGGAUUCGCGAUGCCAUCUGUAUGGUUUUGUGUUCUUUCCUCACAUCGUGAAUGCUGCCCUGAAACGGCAAAGCCCGUCAUCUAUCUCAGCACGUUGGCUCACAUUGCCUUGUCAAGGAAGCCGAGAUCGAUGUCGGAUAAUAGAAACGAGGGAG
This 1412-nucleotide long non-coding RNA is filed under the name Linum usitatissimum (flax). Its description in RNAcentral is "long non-coding RNA (LUSI_LNC006799)". Lineage: Eukaryota; Viridiplantae; Streptophyta; Magnoliopsida; Malpighiales; Linaceae. The record is from RNAcentral.